RNAcentral lists this ribosomal RNA (611 nucleotides) under uncultured Acidobacteriota bacterium. RNAcentral's name for it is "bacterial SSU rRNA". It matches the Rfam family "Bacterial small subunit ribosomal RNA", at positions 8 to 651 of the family's 1533-position model. Lineage: Bacteria; Pseudomonadati; Acidobacteriota. The record is from RNAcentral.
AGAGUUUGAUCCUGGCUCAGAAUCAACGCUGGCGGCGUGCCUAACACAUGCAAGUCGAACGAGAAAGGGGAGCAAUCCCUGAGUAAAGUGGCGACCGGGUGAGUAACACGUGACUAACCUACCUUCGAGUGGGGGAUAACUCCGGGAAACCGGGGCUAAUACCGCAUAACAUCGCAAGAUCAAAGCAGCAAUGCGCUGGAAGAGGGGGUCGCGGCUGAUUAGCUAGUUGGCGGGGUAACGGCCCACCAAGGCGAAGAUCGGUAUCCGGCCUGAGAGGGCGCACGGACACACUGGAACUGAAACACGGUCCGGACUCCUACGGGAGGCAGCAGUGGGGAAUUUUGCGCAAUGGGGGAAACCCUGACGCAGCAACGCCGCGUGGAGGAUGAAGCCCCUUGGGGCGUAAACUCCUUUCGACCAAGACGAUAAUGACGGUACUGGUGGAAGAAGCACCGGCUAACUCUGUGCCGGCAGCCGCGGUAAUACAGAGGGUGCGAGCGUUGUUCGGAAUUAUUGGGCGUAAAGGGCGCGUANGCGGUGCCACAAGUCACCUGUGAAAUCUCCGGGCUUAACUCGGAGCCUGCANGCGAAACUGUGGUGCUGGAGUGUGG